RNAcentral lists this long non-coding RNA (329 nucleotides) under Brachypodium distachyon (stiff brome). RNAcentral's name for it is "long non-coding RNA (BDIS_LNC002548)". Lineage: Eukaryota; Viridiplantae; Streptophyta; Magnoliopsida; Poales; Poaceae. The record is from RNAcentral.
GUCAUAGACUGAUCAUGUAUGAUCUUGUUACCGGAGCUUCUGAAACUUCAUUAAUGCUAUCUUCAAUCCCAGUACCUUGUUCUCUUACCUGUGGACGUCUUCUAAACUUAGGAGAGAAGCUGGUAAUGGUUGGAGGGAUUGCAAAACACAAUAGACCUGAUAUCAUUAAAGGAAUCGGCAUAUGGGAACUUGAUAAGAAACAAUGGCAAGAGGUAGGUCGAAUGCCUCACAAGUUCUUCCAAGGAUUUGGCGAGUUAGAUGAUGUCUUUGCCAGCAGCGGCACAGACGACCUUGUCUACAUCCAAAGCUACGGUGCAACCGCUUUGCUU